This is a long non-coding RNA of Parus major (Great Tit), 8947 nucleotides long. RefSeq lists it as uncharacterized. The transcript has 3 exons. The record is from RefSeq and is a predicted model, not a curated record. NCBI's taxonomy places the organism in Eukaryota, Metazoa, Chordata, Aves, Passeriformes, Paridae.
CGACCGGGCCGGGCCGCCAGGCCCCGCCAGCCCCCGCCGCUCACGCCUCAAAGUCGCCCUCGGGCAGCGGCAAAACUUUCUCAGCAGCGCGUCUCGCCACCGCCCUACGGGCCAGAGCGAGCGGCUUCGCACCUCCGGCAAAGCGCAGCAGCAUCUUCCGGCGUGCCGCUCGCCAGGGGAAGCGACCAGGAGGUGCCCUAAAUCCUGCCAGCGAGCCCCUGCGGACGGCUCACGGUGUGCCAGGCAGAGCCGAGCUGGAGCCCGGCGGGGAUUAGUGCCGCACAUCGGACACUGCCAUGAAAACUCAGCACACGCGUCCUUGGGGCUGCCGGGAGGAGACGGGAGGUUUGCAUUAUCCGGGCUCUGUGAGCCGGAUAGAUGCGCGUGAAACUCUAAUUAUACUUUUGGCUGCCAAAACCAGCCCCACACUCUUAGGUGAGCUUCACGUCUUCUAGAAGGCUACAGGCAAGGCAAGUCCUGUCAAACCAGUGCAAGUUACAAAACAGUCAUAAGGAGCCUACAGUGCAGCUACCAUGAGCCACAGAAACAAAGAAAAUGGGCAGCUUCAGAUGCACACAGGAUAAAGUCAGCAAGACCAAGGCAAGUCUCAUUCCACAAAGGACAGAAACACCUGUCCAAACUCAGCUGAACGUGACAAUCCAAGCAAAACCCCAAAGGUAUAGUGAGGAUUCAGCAUGCAUCACCCUUGUCCUGUGGACCACACUCCAGGCUCCUGGCCAGCCCCCUCAGCACAGUUGGUUUGCUGCUGGUCUUCUCCCAGUAGCCCUGAGAGGCUGCUAACACCCUUCCCCAUACACCAUGAGAAAUACAGGUUAUUUCCAGAGCUCAUGAACUGGCUGUUCUCUGGCUACAUGGCAUUCAUUGCAAGACCUGAACCUCCUUUGCCUCAGCCCUCCUCAGAAAGUCCUUCUGUCAAGAACCAGCAGAUGGACACAGAAGAAGUUUUGUUUCCUGAGGUGGCUUUACCUGAGGCUGAUUCCCAGCACACAACAGACUGUCACAUGUGGGAGGUGAAUGAAUGCUGCUAGCUCAUUUCUGUAGCUGCUCUUCUGCACUUUCCAAUAAAUAGGAACAAAGAGCUUCUUAUCUCCUAGCAAUUCAGAUCAUUAAAACAAAUCAGUGUAGUCAUACAUAUCCUUUUUAUGUUUUCUCGUGAGAGUUAAAAAAAACAAAUAAAGCAAAACAAAACGCCCUUACCUGUAGAGGAAGAAAAUGAAGGAAAAUACAAGAAUAUGAGUCAUACCACAAAAUAUUCACCUUAAUGCUCAUUUAAUAAUUUUGUACUUUUCUGACUUAGAGUUACUGAGUCACUAUUGUCACCAAAGCGAACCAAUAAUAAAAAAUACAAUCCAAUGCAAGUGAAAUACAACAGAUUAUUCACUUAUCUGGAGCCAAAGCAAAAAUAUAAUUAAUCUUUGUUAAUACAUGAUUUUAUGCUAUACCAAUUAAAGAUAGGUUGGGGACAUUUUCUCUAAUUAUUCACCAAAAGCAGUGCUUUAUAUUUCAGCCAGGAUUAUCCAGAGAAUAAUACACUUUUAUCCCUUUCCUCAAAACACACUUGUGCCCCAGGAAAUUUAACUGCCUCUAUCUAAUCCCAUGAAAGUCCUUUUCAUUGUUAUUUCUUGGUGGGAAUGUCAAUCAGAGAUGAAAAAGAGGAAAACAAAACACAGAGUGAGGUGGUUUGCUAGAAACAUCACGUCAGCCAGUGCCAAAAUUACAUCAGAUGGCAUAAAGAAGAAUCCCUUUGAAGAAGUGGCAUGGAAGAAAAGUGUCACUUUUUAUCCUACCUUAUAACUCAGGACAGAAAAAACUGCUUUUUGCAUUUGAAAUUUCAGCCUUAGAAAAGCAUCAGCUGGAAAUAUGGAAUGGAAUGGAAAUGGAAAGAAGCUGAAAGAAGAGGAACCAUUAUAAAAUAUCCCAUGUGUUACAACCCGUGCUUACACAAGAGAACAUGACUCAUUCUACUACAUGUGCAUCAGGGAAAUGAAAGUGCAGUGACUGCUGAGAGAAAAGACAGUAAAGUCUUCUCAGGCAUAGAUCAAGAAGACUCUUGUCAUGGGUGGUGUGCAGCUCAUAGAGGCUCCAUUACUCAGUUUUUGUGGUAGUCCAGCAGUACAAUGCCCCACCCAGGAGCCAGGAAUGCACCUCUGUGAGGAGGACAGAAGAGGGAUUGAAUGAGAAGAGCUGUCCUCAUGUGUGAAUGAGCUCAACAAACAGCAUUCCUCAUCUUGGCUCAUGUGUUUGACUGGUGGGGAGAAGCUGGAUCGAGGCACUGUGGUCUCUCCUACACACAGACCCAAGAAAAGGCAGGGAGCAGCUGCUGAUGGGACAGCUCAGCAUGGAGAGGAGCAGCCAGGACCUCAUGGAGGCCUGGAGGAGUCACACACAGAUACUUGCUAUAAAACAUACCCCAUGAUGCCACUAGGAUUUAUAAAUUGGGGAUUAGGAAGUGUUUGGGGGAAAACUACAGUUGAAAAUUAAGAUUCUGCUUCUCUGAUCUCAUCCUAUGCUUAAUGAAAGGGACAACCUAUUUACACCCAUGUCUUUAGACCUCCCCCCACUAAAUAAAUACAUAUUCUUUUUUAUGUUGAACAAGUAGAGAUUGACCUUAUUUAGCUUUUAUCAAACUGUAUCUUUUAUAUUAAACAAUGAGUGCAGUUACUAAACUCCCCUUUGCAGUAAUAUUUUAAACACUAACCACUAAAUGCCCAUUGCUCAAUGUCCUAGACCUGCUCAAGCAAGAAACAUGAAGUAUAUCAAAUUGGACUGUAAAUUAUGUGAGUUCUAUUUUGAGCGUGACAUCAUUCAUCCUGUUGUUUCAAUUUAAUUAUAUUUAGUCUUCAAUCCAUCCCCAGCAGCUCCAAUAUUUCACUUUUUGUUAGUUUGUCUGCUCUGCUCUGACUAGUGACUUACAAAAAUAACCACAUUUCAAAACAUCACUUCAGAAAAUUAACCCUAAAGCAGUGUUCCCAAGCCAUCAACACUUCUGUGCAGGAGAAAAAGUAUCCUGAGUGCCCAGUUGACAACAGUGGUUGCUGAAAGCAAUAACAGAAAAACAAGGUGAAAACUCAGAAAAACACACAUUCACAUUUCAUUUCUGGACUGUUUGAUACUCUAGAAUCUGAAUCUGACAGCAAAUACUGUCAUUACUUUAUUAUAACCUAGAUACAUAUGCUUAAAUCUUCCUAUUAAAAAAUCUUUUUUUAGAUGGUAUUUUCUGUGCCAGGUCCUACGUAUAAGAUGAUACUUUUCUUCUAGUAUUUUCAGUGAAAUUAUUUGGAAUAGUCAUUUAGUUGUAAAGGCAUUUUACAGGUCCUUUUUUUAAAGGAAAAUAUGUUAAAGGCAUAUAAAUUAUCCUCACUGAGCUUUUACUUUUAGAGUAAUAUUGUAAAAACUCCAAAAAUUACUCUGUAAUUUGGAAGGAAAAGCUUAAAUGAUAAAGUUUAAAUUUUAAAAUCAUAUUAAUUUUCCUUGGAUCAUGGACCAAUGCAUCAAGGUUAAAUAUUUGUGGAGGUAGUUUACAAAUGAUUGCAUCUCCACAGUACAAACAAUUCAUUUGGUACCUUCACUUCUGCAAAACUGAGUUUCUGUAGGCACUCACUAACCUAACCUAUUUUCUAUGUAAAAACCCCUUCCCAUAAAUAUACCUAGUUCUUCUGAACAGUCUUGCCUAAGAAGUUUAAUAAUGUAAAUGAAUUAUUUUAUUAGCUAUUGCCCCAGGACUGGACAUCAUGUCAUCACAAUACUCCAGCAAGUGCAGACAUGUCUCAAGCCCCAUUCUGCACUGACCAGCUUUGGUGGCUGCUCUGGUUUUACUUCUCAAACCUCAGCAGAAUUUCCCUUCCCUAAAAAAGAGGCUUUAGCCUGAGCCACAACUGCACCUCUUUAGACAGGAACAAAUGAUGCUUCAACAUUCCUUAUGGGAAUGCAGUAUUUAUCUAGCAAAUAGGGAUCCUACAGAUAAGGAGAGAGUGUAAAUAUACAUUUUUUCCUUAAUUCAAAUUAUAAGCCCAAACAUAAAAUACAAAGCUCAACAUUCCAACUAGCAAAAAUUAUUGCUACUUUGUUGUUGUGCUGGUGGGUUUUAAACAAGCCAGAAGUUCUUUAUUCUUUCCCAAACCUACCAACAGAAAGGUGGCAGUUUACAUUGCAAAGGACACUCACUAGUGGAAGUGGCAUUUCUGGGUUUUUUUCAGUCUAACAAGAAAAUCCUUUACAUCAACUCCUGCUAAAAUGAUGCUUAGCAGUGUUAGGGUAGGACAGGAAGUCUCACUCCAGGGCCUGCUUUUACAGAAGACCUAAUGUCUUAUGGUACAAUUUUCUAUUGUUCAUUAUUUAUUCAAAAUAUUUCUUUGAAAGUGACAAAGUUCUCUUUGAUGUAAGGCAAGAAGACAGUUUAUCAGAACCAUCUUUCACAUAAAAGUUAGUCUGGUUCAAAGCACCAAUAGAAAUAAUUUUGUGUGAAUAAAUGUAUUUUGAAGGCCAUCAGUUCGAAAUAGAACCUGGUGAUUACAUUUUGAAUGUGUCAAAAAUGAAAUUAAACAAACUGAGAGUGCAGCUGAGGCCUAACUGGCUCUAUUUCCCUCAAAUCCAGAUUUAUCAUUGCCUUCAUUGCUGGGUUUGGCUCAGCAUCUUGCCCUAGGGUGUUGAAUGACACCCUCAGGGUCCUGCUGGAAAAGAAUAAAAGCUUUCUCUCUCAGCUAACCAGUAAAGAGCAAGUCAACAGCACUCCAGGAACACCUAUUAAAGCCUACCAGAGUCUAAUAAAAAUAGUUACUUAAAUAUUAAAGCCAUUUCAUUGCUAGUGGCUGGAACACAAGAAAGCAGGCAUUUCAGCUGGUUCAAGUCUUCAUCAAAGGCUUAAAAGGAAAAUUUGUUCUAUUUUUAGGCACAAGCAUAGAAGCACUGUGCUUGCCAGCCCAUUUUAUUCUAACAUCAAAGGAAAUGAAUGUUUAAACCAAUUAUUUCUUAAAUCCUACAACUAAAAGUGGUGUCUCAGCCCCCUCCAUCAGUGCUACUGUACCCAGCCAGCCCAAAACAAACCAUGGCCAGUCAGAAGCAUUUAUGUCAACCAUAGGGUCAGGGUUUAUAAAUUCCUUCAGGGUGUUAAAAGCAUCAGAAACACCAUUUGUGUUUAGACAGAUGUAGAGGAACAACAGAUUACAAAUUUACAAGGCUCAACAGAAACAAAGGGUGCCAAGGGAAACAAAAGGUAAUGGGUACAAAUAAGAGAAGUUAAACUUCUUACCACUGAAUUUGAGAUAAAAAUAAAACCUCUCAUAAAAUAAACUUGCUCUAAUUCCAUAAUUGCACAAAAAACAAUAAGAUCUUUACUUUAAACUGGAUUGUAACACUGAGCACUAAAGCCAAGGAUCAUUUAAUCUUUUCCUUCCCUCCUGCUGCACACCAUUUCCACCCUGAAAAGCAGCAACAGGGAUUAGUUCAGUUCAGAGACAGGUUUUGUUGUGAAAGACUCAGCUCCACUCUAACAGCUAUGGGUUGGAGAGAAAAAAAUGCUCAUUGCACUGGGAAUUUUGGAAGCCCCCAGGUAAAAACCUGCCACAUCAAGCUUCAUUUUUGAUUGCCUGUGGAUGUCCUCACUGUCUGCUCUCUUCCCUUUCUCUACUUACCUGUCUCUGAGAUAGUCCACACUCAAUCAAAGUUUACAAAUUGAUCCUCACGUUUGACUAUUCUUAUGAGUGUGUUGCCAAAAUCAUGUAAGUAAAGGUUUGACUUUAUUUCACUGCAGUCUGGAAGAUUUCUGCUUUUUAUUUCAAAGACAAUUACACCUCUUACAUUUACACAUGUUCAUCUAGUUCUUUAAGCCAUUUAUGGGUAUGUCCAUGUAAACUCUUUCUCAGCAAGCUACUUAAAUAUGGUUUGUUUCUGCUGACUGGGAAAGACACAGCCUUGUAUGUCUUUGCAUGAAGUCCUUUUCAUAACAUUACAUUAAAGAAAUUAUCAAUACUCAUGAAUGUACAUCUGGAUUAUUUCUCAUAAAUAACAGAUCUAAUACAUGAGAAUGCAUGAUCUGAGUAUCAUCAACUGAUGGUGCAGUAAUCCCUGUCUUUCCUCAACUAACAUUCUCCUAUAGACAGUGGGUCUGUAUCAGCAAGUUUUGUCACAUCUAACAUUUAGGUUCAACACACUUCCAUGGCAGCCAUCCUUUUCUAUUCAAUACACACUGGGUCUCUAUAGCAACACUGGCCACAAACAGCUUUUUAGGCAUUAAAAAACCCCAAAAAUGUUCCAGACAGAGAGAUAAGUGUGAGUUUUGAUAGUGUGCAGGGCAUCAAGCUGACACCAGAAUUGCUCAGGGCAGCCCCAGGGAGCACACCAUGCACAGCAUUAAUACUGGGGACUCCCCAGCACAGGCACAUCAUUAGCACUGGGGGUACAAAUGCUCUAGAGAUGGGUGCUGGUCUUGACAGUGCUCAGAGAAAUUCAUGCUAUCCAGCAUCAAUAUGCACCAGGAAUUUUUCCACAUAGAUGGGAAUGCACCAUCCUUUUUCCAAUUGCCAGGCUAAGCCAUACACAACCAAGAAGCAGGGGCUCCUGGAAAGUGGUGCCAGUUAAAAAAGAGGGUUGAGUACAGCUCCAGUCUUUCCUGUAGGAGAUCAACUUGUGUAAAAGCAACAGCUACGUGUUGGGCAAAUGGUAAAACUCUGAAAUGUAUCUUUAAAAUGGUUUGCUAUUAACAGUUGGAACUUUCAUGUGUUCUAAGAAUCUUCCUGUGCAAACACAAAGAUGUAAGAAACAUGCAAAUGAAAGCCUAAGCGUAUGACUGCAAUGUGCAUCUGCCAAAGGCACAGCACUCAUCAUGGAUCAUCCAGUUCCCUUCUGCAGGCAAAACAUAAUUAGGUGGCCAAAGAAAGAGAACAGAACAAAACAAGCUCUGACACAUCACUGAGAAACAGCAGCUUUGACCUUUCAGCAUCCUGUGCAGCAACUUGCUGUAGCUCAACUGACAAAUCAUAAAAGAGAUGUUUCCUUCCUUCACUCUCUUAUACCAAAUUAAUAUCAACUACAUCAUGCAAUUCUUCUUACAUUUCCCUCUUAAUGAUCUUUGUGGAGGCUACCAAAAUACUACUGCAAGGUAAUACACUGUAGGGUUUCACUACUGAGCAAAAGAUGGAAGAAUAUUUAUUGUAGAGAACAAAAAGGACACAUUGGUAGCACAACUUGACUCCAGCCUGGGCUGUCAUUAGUUUACCUUUCUCCAUAAAGACAUCUCCCUGAAAAAUCUCUUCGGAAAAAAUUACUUUAAAGUGCAGGAAAAUCUCAAUAAACAUAGCCUUCCUGCCACUUGAAAACCAGUCUAGCCUCUCUAGUUUCCUAAUUGCUACCAGGCAGAAGUAAUUGUAACAAAAAUAAAACAGUUUUGCUUGACUUUGCCAUCCCUGCUGUGAUUCCAGAAGCUUAGAGAACCCUGCAAGAUAAAGCAGUACAUUUCACUGAGGAAUGAAAAAGAAAAACAUAUUGAAAUUUGGCCCAUUGCUUCUUGAUAUUAUGAGAGUAGAAUUAUUUCGGGACUAAAACCAGGCUCAUCAUAUAAAAUUAUUCCUUCUAUUGGAGGAAGAAGGAGGCAGCUUCCAGAGCAGCAGUGGAUUUUUCUAAUCUGCUUCACAUCACAUCAUCAUGGCUACAGAGCACAACUCCUGUCAGCACAUACUGUGGUUGUGCAGAAGCACACAGGAGCUUCUUUCCUUCCUGACCAUUAAAGAGUCAAAUCCCAACAUUGUGCAGAUAAAGAAAUUAUUCUUUAACUUGAGAGACAGAGCCUUUAAAAUAGGAGUUCAAAGUGGCCAUCAGGUUUUUUGCCUAUUUCUAAGCAGGCACCAAACUGUUUCCUGCAGCCAGGAAGUUAAACCAGCCUAGAGACACUUUUAAUGCCACCUGGUUAGGAACCAAAGUGUUGCCAGUUCCCAAUAACUGUAGGGUCAAGGUUCAAUGCCCUCCUUAGAAGGUGUGAGCUACAGAUUGAGGUAUUUACAUCACAAUCCCACCUUUAAAGUAAGGCCUCUGACUCUCAUGACUGCCAAGAUGUCUUUUAAAAGUUGUAAUGGCUCACAGAACAGAAGGCAACUACAAAUAACAAUUUCUUAUCUAAUUUUUAGGUGAGCCUCAUGUUGUUUGGGUAGAUGGUAGUGGGUGAUUCUGGUAGUGACGGUGUCCAGUUUAAUAGGUUCCAAGGCAGGAAAUCACUGGCUUCUGCACAUCCCAUCUAUAAAUGCUUGAAGGUACUCCAAUCCUUUAAACAGUAGGAGAACAUAGCAUGAAGGAUUAUUUCAUGACUACUUCAAAAUCAAUGUUUAAAACUUAGCCUUCACUUUGCAGCAGAGCUGGAAGGAAAAUAAAUCCGAGAAUGUGUCCACUCAAAAUAUGCACUUCCCAGCUCAACCUGCCAGCUUCUUUCCCCUGAGUCAGCAGGGACCUGAAGGAGACUAAACAGCUUCCUGCUAAAAGCUUCAGAGGUUAACUUCCCUCAGCUGUUAUCCUACCAAUUCAUUCGAGUUGAGCACGGAAAAGUAGAAGCCUGGCAGGAGAUCAACAUUUUUUUUUUAAUUUAAAUGCUAACAUUUCCAGUCUUUUUAACCUCAUUUUAGCAAGUUGAUAGAUUUGUUUGUGCCUUUUCACUCUGUCAGUAGAUCUUUUCAGAACAAUCCUAUUUGACAUUGACGUAAAGGUUACCAUAUGCAUCAGGCAGUUUGAACGUGUUGCUUAAGGAAGAGAAAGACAAAGUAACUCAAGGAAGACCCAGAGAAAGAAGCUUUGUAAAAGAACAUGUUUUCCUUUCUCUUCUAAACAUGUAGUUUAAGAUUAGUACUUUGCUAAAGUGAAGGAGAAUGCAAUAGUUGGCAGAAAGAAAGUAUGCUUUGUACAGUACUUAUUUGUCUAUAGACAAUAAAAUCUGCAUUAAAAAGUA